RNAcentral lists this ribosomal RNA (449 nucleotides) under uncultured bacterium. Its description in RNAcentral is "bacterial SSU rRNA". It matches the Rfam family "Bacterial small subunit ribosomal RNA", at positions 355 to 825 of the family's 1533-position model. The record is from RNAcentral.
UGGGGAAUAUUGGACAAUGGGCGAAAGCCUGAUCCAGCCAUGCCGCGUGAGUGACGAAGGCCUUAGGGUUGUAAAACUCUUUCGUCGGGGACGAUAAUGACGGUACCCGAAGAAGAAGCUCCGGCUAACUUCGUGCCAGCAGCCGCGGUAAUACGAAGGGAGCUAGCGUUGUUCGGAAUUACUGGGCAUAAAGCGCGCGUAGGCGGCGACGUAAGUGUAGGGUGAAAUCCCACGGCUCACCCGUGUGAAUUGCCCCCGCAUACUGCGUUGCUUGAGUGUGGUAGGGGAGAGCGGAACUCCUGGUGGAGCGGUGAAAUGCGUAGAUAUCAGGAGGAACACCGGUGGCGUAGGCGGCUCUCUGGUCCAUAACUGACGCUGAAGUGCGAAAGCUAGGGUAGCGAACGGGAUUAGAUACCCUUGUAGUCCCUGAGCGGGCUGGCAAGGCGCAU